Molecule: ribosomal RNA, 570 nt
Filed under: uncultured fungus
Lineage: Eukaryota; Fungi
Description: eukaryotic LSU rRNA
Rfam family: 5.8S ribosomal RNA (bases 208-361)
Source: RNAcentral
CGUAACAAGGUCUCCGUAGGUGAACCUGCGGAGGGAUCAUUACACAAAUAUGAAGGCGGGCUGGAACCUCUCGGGGUUACAGCCUUGCUGAAUUAUUCACCCUUGUCUUUUGCGUACUUCUUGUUUCCUUGGUGGGUUCGCCCACCACUAGGACAAACAUAAACCUUUUGUAAUUGCAAUCAGCGUCAGUAACAAAUUAAUAAUUACAACUUUCAACAACGGAUCUCUUGGUUCCGGCAUCGAUGAAGAACGCAGCGAAAUGCGAUAAGUAGUGUGAAUUGCNGAAUUCAGUGAAUCAUCGAAUCUUUGAACGCACAUUGCGCCCUUUGGUAUUCCAAAGGGCAUGCCUGUUCGAGCGUCAUUUGUACCCUCAAGCUCUGCUUGGUGUUGGGCGUCUUGUCUCUAGCUUUGCUGGAGACUCGCCUUAAAGUAAUUGGCAGCCGGCCUACUGGUUUCGGAGCGCAGCACAAGUCGCACUCUCUAUCAGCAAAGGUCUAGCAUCCAUUAAGCCUUUUUUUCAACUUUUGACCUCGGNUCAGGUNNGGAUACCCGCUGAACUUAAGCAUAUCA